Long non-coding RNA from Oreochromis niloticus (Nile tilapia), 543 nucleotides. RefSeq lists it as uncharacterized. The transcript has 3 exons. The record is from RefSeq and is a predicted model, not a curated record. NCBI's taxonomy places the organism in Eukaryota, Metazoa, Chordata, Actinopteri, Cichliformes, Cichlidae.
GGAAGCACUUCUUCAUUCUACAGAAAAGGUGACACAUUACAGAUGAGUUCAUAAAAAGUGUCACUGUCACUCUUUCAAGGCUCGGUCACUUUUUCUUAUUUACUGGAACAGCAUGGUAAAGUAGGCCUAGGCUGCCAUCUUGUGGCAGUGUGUUGUUACUACAACAUGUGAAAUUGUGUUUCUAUUGGAAAUAUAAUUCAGCGCCACCGAGCCGCUCUCUCAGUUACAAACUGAACCUGUUUUUUUAGCCAUAUAAAUCACUAAGCACAGUGAAGCUUUUGGUUUUGUCAAAGUGUUUCUUAUUCAAAAUGCAUGUUGAUUUUUAUAAGGUUGAAGAGCAGUUAGCAGUGCAUUGAUGGACAUCUUUAAACUAUUAAUUGAAGAAUCUUUGGUCAUGAACUAGAAACGUGAGCUCCAGUCCCAUGGAGGCUAAGAUUGGCACUGAGGCUGGCCAGCAGAAGGUGAGGGCCUGGGGUCCUGGACUGGAAGGAGGCGUUGUUGGUUUCUCUCAGACCAAGAUUGAAUGUGAUGACAAGGGUGAUG